Molecule: ribosomal RNA, 326 nt
Filed under: uncultured bacterium
Lineage: Bacteria
Description: bacterial SSU rRNA
Rfam family: Bacterial small subunit ribosomal RNA
Source: RNAcentral
GGCGGACGGGUGAGUAACGCGUAGGGAUCUGCCCCGCAGUGGGGGACAACCUGGGGAAACUCAGGCUAAUACCGCAUACGCUCCAUGGAGGGAAAGCGGGGGACCUUCGGGCCUCGCGCUGCGGGAUGAACCUACGUCCGAUUAGCUAGUUGGUGGGGUAAGGGCCCACCAAGGCGACGAUCGGUAGCUGGUCUGAGAGGACGGCCAGCCACACUGGGACUGAGACACGGCCCAGACUCCUACGGGAGGCAGCAGUGGGGAAUAUUGGACAAUGGGCGCAAGCCUGAUCCAGCAAUGCCGCGUGGGUGAAGACGGCCUGCGGUUGU